CAGAGAUCUAUCGGGCUUCAACCAAGAUUCGAGAAGGUGAGAGGUUCUUUGAAGGAAGCAACUUGUUGCUACAACUGUGGAUGAUGGAACGUUUACAUCCCGCCUCCAUGUUUGAGAAAGAUGUGAUUGACCGUUGUCUGAGAGAUCGAGUGAAGUGCAUCGAGCAUAGGAUGACGUUCGAUAAGUUUGCCUUACCACUCGGAGUUCAAGAUUGGGUUGAUUAUUUGGGGUCCUUAACUGAAGAAAAGAUUUUGUGGUCAUACUUAUGGAUUGAUUUGGACAUGAUCUUAACAGGAUCUCGCGUGCAAGACUUCUUAAUGCUGAUAGGACUUUGGUGUACUAGACCAUAUACCCCUGCUAGAGUGAUGCGUCAGUAAGGGAGACGACAAGAAGUCCCUUAUAUUCCCGAUUCUAAUAACGUUCAAUAAGUUCCGCCUUACCACUCGGAGUUCAAAAUUGGGUUGAUUAUUUGGGGUCUUUGACCGAAGAGAAGAUUUUGUGGUCAUACCUAUGGAUUGAUUUGGACGUGAUCUUAGCAGGAUAUCGCGUGCAAGACUUUUUGGUGCUGAUAGGACUUUGGUAUACUAGACAUUAUACCCCUACUAAAGUGAUGCGCCAGUUAGGGAGGCAAGAAGAAGUCCCUUACAUUCCUGAUUCUCGUAAAUUCAUUAGGGAAUUUGACGCUAUGCCGCAUAGGGAGGUCAACAUCCAGACUUAUUGGAGUUAUGCAAUGAAGAUGGGUAGGGAUGCUUUAGCAACUGACCCACAUUCACCCGAGCAUACCCAUGAGUACUUCAUAUGGCUACAGUCUACUCGGUGGGGGGGUUAGCAGGACAUUGCCCCGGCGUGUUAGAGAAGUAUUUGAUGAGGAUGCCACCUCACGGAUAUUUCUUAGACAGUUGAUGGAUGGAUUUACCCAGGCAGAGGAGGCCCAUGCAGUAGAAAGGGUUGGGGUUUGAACUACACUUCAGUCACUGAGAUCACAGUUGGCAGGGUUGGUAGAGAACAUGGGGCAACACCGUGAGUACCUUACUAGAGCCAGCCUUCCAGAUGC
This 1054-nucleotide long non-coding RNA is filed under the name Nicotiana benthamiana. RNAcentral describes it as "long non-coding RNA (NBEN_LNC008059)". Lineage: Eukaryota; Viridiplantae; Streptophyta; Magnoliopsida; Solanales; Solanaceae. The record is from RNAcentral.